Molecule: non-coding RNA, 118 nt
Organism: Triticum aestivum (bread wheat)
Lineage: Eukaryota; Viridiplantae; Streptophyta; Magnoliopsida; Poales; Poaceae
Source: Rfam
CUAAUACUCCCUCCGUCCGAAAAUACUUGUCACCAAAAUGGAUAAAAAGAGAUGUAUCUGAAUACAUCUCUUUUUAUCCAUUUUGGUGACAAGUAUUUUCAGACGGAGGGAGUAUAUA